RNAcentral lists this ribosomal RNA (253 nucleotides) under uncultured bacterium. Its description in RNAcentral is "partial 16S ribosomal RNA". It matches the Rfam family "Bacterial small subunit ribosomal RNA", at positions 524 to 776 of the family's 1533-position model. The record is from RNAcentral.
UACGUAGGCAGCAAGCGUUGUUCGGAGUUACUGGGCGUAAAGGGUGCGUAGGCGGCUAUUUAAGUUUGGUGUGAAAUCUCCCGGCUCAACCGGGAGGGUGCGCCGAAUACUGAGUGGCUAGAGUGCGGGAGAGGAAAGUGGAAUUCCUGGUGUAGCGGUGAAAUGCGUAGAUAUCAGUCGGAACACCCAUGGCGAAGGCAGCUAUCUGGGCUAACAUUGACGCUGAGGUGCGAAAGCGUGGGGAGCGAACGGG